AGUUUUUUUGGGGUUUUUUAUGGUUUUUUUUAAUCGCUCAGGACGAACGCUGGCGGCGUGCCUAAUACAUGCAAGUCGAGCGGACAGAUGGGAGCUUGCUCCCUGAUGUUAGCGGCGGACGGGUGAGUAACACGUGGGUAACCUGCCUGUAAGACUGGGAUAACUCCGGGAAACCGGGGCUAAUACCGGAUGCUUGUUUGAACCGCAUGGUUCAAACAUAAAAGGUGGCUUCGGCUACCACUUACAGAUGGACCCGCGGCGCAUUAGCUAGUUGGUGAGGUAAUGGCUCACCAAGGCAACGAUGCGUAGCCGACCUGAGAGGGUGAUCGGCCACACUGGGACUGAGACACGGCCCAGACUCCUACGGGAGGCAGCAGUAGGGAAUCUUCCGCAAUGGACGAAAGUCUGACGGAGCAACGCCGCGUGAGUGAUGAAGGUUUUCGGAUCGUAAAGCUCUGUUGUUAGGGAAGAACAAGUACCGUUCGAAUAGGGCGGUACCUUGACGGUACCUAACCAGAAAGCCACGGCUAACUACGUGCCAGCAGCCGCGGUAAUACGUAGGUGGCAAGCGUUGUCCGGAAUUAUUGGGCGUAAAGGGCUCGCAGGCGGUUUCUUAAGUCUGAUGUGAAAGCCCCCGGCUCAACCGGGGAGGGUCAUUGGAAACUGGGGAACUUGAGUGCAGAAGAGGAGAGUGGAAUUCCACGUGUAGCGGUGAAAUGCGUAGAGAUGUGGAGGAACACCAGUGGCGAAGGCGACUCUCUGGUCUGUAACUGACGCUGAGGAGCGAAAGCGUGGGGAGCGAACAGGAUUAGAUACCCUGGUAGUCCACGCCGUAAACGAUGAGUGCUAAGUGUUAGGGGGUUUCCGCCCCUUAGUGCUGCAGCUAACGCAUAAGCACUCCGCCUGGAGACGCCGUUCA
RNAcentral lists this ribosomal RNA (919 nucleotides) under Bacillus tequilensis. RNAcentral describes it as "bacterial SSU rRNA". It matches the Rfam family "Bacterial small subunit ribosomal RNA", at positions 1 to 888 of the family's 1533-position model. Lineage: Bacteria; Bacillati; Bacillota; Bacilli; Caryophanales; Bacillaceae. The record is from RNAcentral.